Cygnus atratus (black swan) is the source of this 973-nucleotide long non-coding RNA. RefSeq lists it as uncharacterized. The transcript has 2 exons. The record is from RefSeq and is a predicted model, not a curated record. Lineage: Eukaryota; Metazoa; Chordata; Aves; Anseriformes; Anatidae.
UUUAUGGUGAUUUCUCACAUCUGCAGCCACAGAACCUGCUCCUGCACAGCACAGAGCCUGCAGAAGCACGUGCUGCGCUGUACGGAUGUGAAUGGCCAAGCUUGCGCUCGGUGUUAGGAGGAUCCUGCUGGGAAAACCAUCAGGAAGCCCAGUUAAAGUCAUGGGCAAAGCAGAAGGGCACAGAUGCAGGCACACACAGCAGCAGAAGAAAUGCAGAGCCAUGCAUUAAAGCCAACUGCAGUUACUGGGACAGAAUCCACUUUUGAAAGAUGUGUUUGCAUCCAAACCGCGCGCCAGCAGCAGAAGGUCUCCUGGACUGCUGCUGCCAUUGGCUGGUGAUGAACGGAGGCAGGAAAGAGAGGAGGUUCCUUUGCAAAGUCACGCAUGAAAAAAUAUUGCUGCUGUUGAGUUUGUCAGAUGGCGGCACUCGGGGCCCAGCUGGUGGAGCUGGGCAAGCAGCCCAGGAGAUGGAUUAUCCCGUAGGAGCCACCAAUGGGACCUGAUUCUGCCCUCAUCCAACCCCAUCAAUGCUUCAGGAGGUGUCAUUCGUCUUUGGGAGGUGUUGUGAGGCUGAGAUCACCUUCACGGGGCUUUGGGGGAGGUAACGUGUGUUGGCCUGGAGCAACGACCGCUGCUCUCCAGCUUGGGCUGCGGGCAGGCAGAGCAACAGCAGCGUCCACCUCUGCUCCUCCAAGCUUGGAUCAUUGCACUGAUUCGGAGUGACCCCUGCCUCAGCUGCGAAGGAGAGAACCUGUAGGAAAGCUCAUGCUGAGCUCUGCCACAAGGCUCUGGUGUCCACACAGAGCUGGGCGAGCAGUGGGGGCCAGCCCUGACCUUUACUGUAGCAAGGGCGCCUCCGCUGCCCCCCUCCCUGUCCCUCUGCAGGGGCUUUUCCCGUGCAAUUCAGGUUGUUCCACGGAGCAGGCUCAGGGGCUGCCUGCUAAAUCAGACAAUUAAAUCCUUGAGUCCGGGU